CUCAUUGCCGGCACAAAAGAGCAACCACUUCGUUGAACGGAGCGGGCCAAUACUGCCCUUGGCUCGGACUGAUGACGCACAGCAGACGCUACUCCCCAGGAAACGUGUGGAGCCAGUGAAAGGAAGAAAAACAAUGAAAGGAAGGCUUGAAAAGUUCAUUACAAAACUACAGUGCUUUGAAAAAUAUUUCAAAGAUAUUAAAAUGAAAACUGAUUACAUGACACAAUAA
Macaca mulatta (Rhesus monkey) is the source of this 229-nucleotide non-coding RNA. NCBI's taxonomy places the organism in Eukaryota, Metazoa, Chordata, Mammalia, Primates, Cercopithecidae. The record is from RefSeq and is a predicted model, not a curated record.